GGCUUGUGGCUCAGUGGUAGAGCACUCCCCUAGCGUGUGAGGCCCUGGGUUCUAUCCUCAGCACCA
RNAcentral lists this transfer RNA (66 nucleotides) under Marmota monax (woodchuck). RNAcentral's name for it is "tRNA.Ala". Lineage: Eukaryota; Metazoa; Chordata; Mammalia; Rodentia; Sciuridae. The record is from RNAcentral.